Molecule: ribosomal RNA, 442 nt
Filed under: uncultured bacterium
Lineage: Bacteria
Description: partial 16S ribosomal RNA
Rfam family: Bacterial small subunit ribosomal RNA
Source: RNAcentral
CUACGGGACGCUGCAGUCGAGAAUCUUCCGCAAUGGGCGCAAGCCUGACGGAGCAAUGCCGCGUGAGGGAUGACGGCCCUAGGGUUGUAAACCUCUGUCAGAAGGGACGAAGAACGUGACGGUACCUUCAGAGGAAGCCAUGGCUAACUACGUGCCAGCAGUUGCGGUAAUACGUAGGUGGCGAGCGUUAUUCGGAUUUACUGGGCGUAAAGGGUCCGUAGGGGGUCUGCCAAGUCUGAUGUGAAAUCCUGCGGCUCAACCGCGGAACUGCAUUGGAAACUGGCGGACUAGAGUGUGCGAGGGGUGAGCGGAAUUCCUGGUGUAGCGGUGGAAUGCGUAGAUAUCAGGAAGAACACCGAUGGCGAAGGCGGCUCACUGGCGCAUCACUGACCCUGAGGGACGAAAGCGUGGGUAGCAAACAGGAUUAGAUACCCCAGUAGUC